UACGAGGGGUGCAAACGUUAUUCGGAUUUACUGGGUGUAAAGGGUGUGUAGACGGUUUGUUAAGUUUGUUGUUAAAUCUUCUGGCCUAACUGGAAGCUUGCGAUGAAAACUGGCAGACUUGAGGGUGAAAGAGAGAAGUGGAAUUCUCGGAGUAGCGGUAAAAUGCGUAGAUCUCGAGAGGAACACCGAUGGCGAAAGCAGCUUCUUGGUUCAUUCCUGACGUUGAAACACGAAAGCGUGGGGAGCAAACAGG
RNAcentral lists this ribosomal RNA (253 nucleotides) under uncultured bacterium. RNAcentral's name for it is "partial 16S ribosomal RNA". It matches the Rfam family "Bacterial small subunit ribosomal RNA", at positions 524 to 776 of the family's 1533-position model. The record is from RNAcentral.